RNAcentral lists this unclassified non-coding RNA (355 nucleotides) under uncultured Entoloma. RNAcentral's name for it is "sequence contains ITS1". The stretch from base 1 to 105 matches the Rfam family "5.8S ribosomal RNA", at positions 50 to 154 of the family's 154-position model. Lineage: Eukaryota; Fungi; Basidiomycota; Agaricomycetes; Agaricales; Entolomataceae. The record is from RNAcentral.
GAAAUGCGAUAAGUAAUGUGAAUUGCAGAAUUCAGUGAAUCAUCGAAUCUUUGAACGCACCUUGCGCUCCUUGGUAUUCCGAGGAGCAUGCCUGUUUGAGUGUCAUGAAAUUCUCAACCUCUCUAGUUUUUUUGAACUGGUUAGGCUUGGAUUUUGGAAGUUGCUGGCUCACUAUGAAUCAGCUCUUCUUAAAUAUAUUAGCGAAGAUCUUUGCUGCUCAUCAUUGGUAUGAUAAUUAUCUAUAUCAUUGAUAUCCAGUGUCCCUCACGGGAGAGGUCUUGCUUCUAAUAGUCUUUUUAAAGACAAUCUGAUAACUUUUGACCUCAAAUCAGGUAGGACUACCCGCUGAACUUAA